This 193-nucleotide ribosomal RNA is filed under the name uncultured beta proteobacterium. RNAcentral describes it as "partial 16S ribosomal RNA". It matches the Rfam family "Bacterial small subunit ribosomal RNA", at positions 340 to 525 of the family's 1533-position model. The record is from RNAcentral. Lineage: Bacteria; Pseudomonadati; Pseudomonadota; Betaproteobacteria.
UACGGGAGGCAGCAGUGGGGAAUUUUGGACAAUGGGGGAAACCCUGAUCCAGCCAUUCCGCGUGAGUGAAGAAGGCCUUCGGGUUGUAAAGCUCUUUCGGCAGGAACGAAACGGUUUGGGCUAAUACCCUGAGCUAAUGACGGUACCUGAAGAAGAAGCACCGGCUAACUACGUGCCAGCAGCCGCGGUAAUA